Molecule: ribosomal RNA, 452 nt
Filed under: uncultured bacterium
Lineage: Bacteria
Description: partial 16S ribosomal RNA
Rfam family: Bacterial small subunit ribosomal RNA
Source: RNAcentral
AACGAACGCUGGCGGCAGGCUUAACACAUGCAAGUCGAACGCGUGUAGCAAUACACGAGUGGCGCACGGGUGAGUAACACGUGGAUUAUCUGCCUUUUGGUUCGGAAUAACCCCGGGAAACUGGGGCUAAUACCGGAUGGUUCCUACGGGAUAAAGAUUUAUCGCCAAAAGAUGAGUCCACGCCCGAUUAGCUAGUUUGCGGGGUAAUGGCCCACCAAGGCUACGAUCGGUAGCUGGUCUGAGAGGACGAUCAGCCACACUGGGACUGAGACCCGGCCCAGACUCCUACGGGAAGCAUCAUUGGAGAAUAUUAUACAAUUGGGGCAACCCUAAUCCAGCCAUGCCGCGUGAGUGAUGAAUGCCUUCGGGUUGUAAAGCUCUUUUGGCGGGAACGAUGAUGACGGUACCCGCAGAAUAAGCCCCGACUAACUUCGUGCCAGCCGCCGCCGUAA